Molecule: ribosomal RNA, 255 nt
Filed under: uncultured bacterium
Lineage: Bacteria
Description: partial 16S ribosomal RNA
Rfam family: Bacterial small subunit ribosomal RNA
Source: RNAcentral
UCUUUCUUUGCUGGCGACCGGCGCACGGGUGAGUAACACGUAUCCAACCUGCCCUUUACUCGGGGAUAGCCUUUCGAAAGAAAGAUUAAUACCCGAUAGUAUAAUGAUUCCGCAUGGUUUCAUUAUUAAAGGAUUCCGGUAAAGGAUGGGGAUGCGUUCCAUUAGGUUGUUGGUGAGGUAACGGCUGACCAAGCCUUCGAUGGAUAGGGGUUCUGAGAGGAAGGUCCCCCACAUUGGAACUGAGACACGGUCCAA